CUCCAGUUCAGAGUUCAGAAUCAAAAAUUAGAUCUGGCCUUUUCAGCUCAAGGUGAAAACCUCGAAACCCUGUAGAAAUUACUACAAAAUUCUAAGUGAGAUCAUUUGAAUAUCAAACAGCAUCCAGUUUUGCCCAUCAGAUAUCACUAACUCUAGUAGUGGUCAUGAAGAGAAAGAAGAAAAGAAAAAAAUGGUUUGUGUAUUUGAUUUGGAUAAUCAUGGGUACGAGCGGAUUCGGGAAUGUGGUUUUCAAAUUGACGGAUGGCUGAUCUCCAUCUGUGUUCAGUGCAGCUCUUUGUAAGAAACUUCGGACUUAUCUAACAUCCUUUGCAUUCUUCGAUCCAACAUUGCAGUUGACUCUGAUGGUCAAGAAGUGAAAAGGAGAAGAAAAAAAAAAUGGUUUGUGUACUGAUUUGGAUAAUCAUGCGUAUGAGCGGAUUCGUAAAUGUGGUUUUCAAAUAACCACGAUGGUUUCACCAUUUCCUUUAGCAUUUGGUGCUCAAUUGUGUUCGUUUCUCACAAGGGCUUUCUUCUCUUUGGUCAUGAUGCUGAGAUGAUAAAUCUUUGAAGGGAUGGCUGAUCUCCAUCUGUGUUCAAGUGCAGCUCUUUGUGACAACUCCUUCCUGAUGAUUCCAGGCGGAGGAGUUUCCUAUUAGUUGCUGGCUUUGGCAAAGAUGGGAAUUGAGUUUUUGAGAUAAGAUUAUUGGCAUUUUUUUUAAUCAUUGGUUACUGUGUUACUUACUCUUCAAAAAUCAGAAUGGUCCAUGUCUUGCUGUUUGUAAUCUUCUUUACUGAAGAAGAAGUUCAAUCUGGAGGAUACUGAAGCAAUAUCUGCUGAAAGGGAAGAGAAUUGGUCAUGUAAGAGUCCAGAACAUGAUAUACGCAAUCUCUGCUGUUCGGGAGGAUAAAGAAUGGCUGUGAGCUUCACUUCAGCUCUGGUUGUGGGACGUUCCAAGUGAAGUUCAUCCGCCUUUAUAACCUCGACAGGAGGAUGCAACACAUGCUAUUUGCUGGUGAAGACAUCCCUUCAUUACAAGAGUUAACAUAUGACUACAACUAUGUGGUAGACACAGUUCAUGAUUCUACGGGAGAUAUAUAGAUAAAGGAAUGCUGCUGUGGUUCUUUUGAGUGCACUGGAAGGACAUUACGCGAAAUGGUGGCGGAGUCUUCAUGAAGAAUAUUUGGCUGUGAAGCAGAGAUUCUCUUCACCAAUUUCACCCUUUAGUUGUAAGUCUAUGAUAUUAUUUUCUUAUGGUGCAUAUUGCAUAUUAGUUGUUUCUUGAACGCGAAUAUAUGACAUCCUCUCAGCAUAAUAUGAUUCUAGUAUUUAGGUGUAUAAUCUUUCGCCCAGAAUCUGAGUUCAUAUUACUAGUACAACCACUGUUUUGUAUGAAUGAAUAUGAAUCUGCACUCUCCGCAACAGCUUGUUAAUAGAAAGUAACUUUACUGUUAACUUGUUGGUUUUUACAAAGGCGAUUCAUUUCAGCUGUUCA
Long non-coding RNA from Papaver somniferum (opium poppy), 1493 nucleotides. RefSeq lists it as uncharacterized. NCBI's taxonomy places the organism in Eukaryota, Viridiplantae, Streptophyta, Magnoliopsida, Ranunculales, Papaveraceae. The record is from RefSeq and is a predicted model, not a curated record. The transcript has 4 exons.